This is a long non-coding RNA of Myotis davidii, 213 nucleotides long. RefSeq lists it as uncharacterized. The record is from RefSeq and is a predicted model, not a curated record. The transcript is spliced from 2 exons. NCBI's taxonomy places the organism in Eukaryota, Metazoa, Chordata, Mammalia, Chiroptera, Vespertilionidae.
GAAUUGGGAAUUCUUACACAGCCUGGAGAAGGAAACGUUGCCUGCAAGGAGAAAAUUUUACAAGUUGACUGGGCCCUGGACACCCAAGACAGACACAUAGAUAUCCAGGUUAAAGAUGAUUCUGCAAAGAAAAACAAUGUGUGUUGGACAGCAAUACAGCAAAUGUGGUGAAAUGUUAACAAUUAUUAAAUCUAUGUAAAAGGUUUACAGGUA